Molecule: long non-coding RNA, 1163 nt
Filed under: Urocitellus parryii (Arctic ground squirrel)
Lineage: Eukaryota; Metazoa; Chordata; Mammalia; Rodentia; Sciuridae
Description: lncRNA (ENSUPAG00010010349.1)
Source: RNAcentral
GUGAGGUGCGGACAACGCCCCGGGCGCCGCGCGCUGCCGCCGAUCCCCAUUGGCUGGGCGCGGCCGGAGGGCGGGGCGGGGGAACGUGGCGGGCGUGGGGGUGGGACGCCGUAGUGCCGCAGACAAAGAGUGUGCUUCACGCGCCCGCCGGCGCUGCUCGGUGGGAGGAAGCGCGGUGAGUGCCGUGGCGACUGCCGGGGCCGAUAACCUUCUGGGAGCCGGCGGCCAGCGGGAUGCAAGGACCUCAGCUAGUGUGCCACGCGGGCCAGCUAUGCAGGGGACAGGGCCCGGGAAACUUCGACCUGGGUUCGUUUCCGAGUCUGCCGCGGGACCUCAGCGUCCUCGCCUGUUUAAUGGGACACUGCCGUGAAAACGGACGUGCRACGCCGGGACCUUCCGAGGCCUGAAGGCCCGAGCACAACUAGUCGAGAAACUCCUUGGGCGGCGAAAGGGCGCCCUCGUAGCGCUCUCGCCUGUCCUGCCUGCGCGCCCACCUGGAGGUGGCCUCUGGGGCUUCCGGUCUCCGGAGAACAUGCGGGAAUGAGAGGGUCUGAGCGCGCCGCGCGCUUCCGGCAGCGCCGGGCGCUGUGCUGGGUGAGAGGAGACCGAACUUCCACACAGGCUGGCGGAGGGGCGAGGGGCUCCGCCCAGCCCCGGGGCCCUCACCUUCCGGCGGGCCGAGGGAGGGCUCGCCGGAGCUGCGCCAGGCUGCGAGGGAGGUGCCGGGACCCGCUGAGAACUUCCGGGCCCUGCGGGCCUGGUGGCGGGGACUCCAGCCACAGUGCCGAGGUUCUGCAGUACAGCCACUGAUUGCAGUGAAUGCGUGUCCGUGGAGGGACCUUACCUGGGGAGGAUGCCAGUGUCUGUCACUGGUGAAACUUGGUGAUACAGAAGCCAGGGGAUUCCACUGCUCCUGUGUGUUUCAGUUUAUCCUUAGGAUCUAAAUUUAACCAUCAUUAAGCAGAGACUCAAACGCCAGGGCUGCUGACUCCUAGUCCAGUGCUCGUGAUGGCUGGUGGGCCCUGAACUAGGGGUCUGGAGGCCUAGGUUUGAAUAUCACCAGCCUUCAACCCAGCCAGGUGGCUCCUGGGAUGCGUUGGGGAGACUGUGAAAGGUCUGAGUCAGGAAAAAAUACUACAUAAAAACUGAUAAGACAAGGACAG